CGGGAUGUGGCUCAGCUUGGCAGAGCACCUGGUUUGGGACCAGGGGGUCGCAGGUUCGAAUCCUGUCAUCCCGA
Molecule: transfer RNA, 74 nt
Filed under: Thermoactinomyces sp. AS95
Lineage: Bacteria; Bacillati; Bacillota; Bacilli; Caryophanales; Thermoactinomycetaceae
Rfam family: tRNA
About the family: Transfer RNA (tRNA) molecules are approximately 80 nucleotides in length. Their secondary structure includes four short double-helical elements and three loops (D, anti-codon, and T loops).
Source: Rfam by way of RNAcentral